RNAcentral lists this ribosomal RNA (334 nucleotides) under Bjerkandera adusta. RNAcentral describes it as "eukaryotic LSU rRNA". The stretch from base 1 to 105 matches the Rfam family "5.8S ribosomal RNA", at positions 50 to 154 of the family's 154-position model. The record is from RNAcentral. Lineage: Eukaryota; Fungi; Basidiomycota; Agaricomycetes; Polyporales; Phanerochaetaceae.
GAAAUGCGAUAAGUAAUGUGAAUUGCAGAAUUCAGUGAAUCAUCGAAUCUUUGAACGCACCUUGCGCUCCUUGGUAUUCCGAGGAGCAUGCCUGUUUGAGUCUCAUGGAAUUCUCAACCUUCAGCUUUAUUGAUGAAGGCUUGGACUUGGAGGUCGUGCCGGCUCUCGUAGUCGGCUCCUCUGAAAUGCAUUAGUGCGAACGUUACCAGCCGCUUCAGCGUGAUAAUUAUCUGCGUUGCUGUGGAGGGUAUUCUAGUGUUCACGCUUCUAACCGUCUUCGGACAAAUUUCUGAACUCUGAGCUCAAAUCAGGUAGGACUACCCGCUGAACUUAA